RNAcentral lists this ribosomal RNA (397 nucleotides) under Bacillus cereus. Its description in RNAcentral is "bacterial SSU rRNA". It matches the Rfam family "Bacterial small subunit ribosomal RNA", at positions 71 to 459 of the family's 1533-position model. The record is from RNAcentral. Lineage: Bacteria; Bacillati; Bacillota; Bacilli; Caryophanales; Bacillaceae.
AUUAAGAGCUUGCUCUUAUGAAGUUAGCGGCGGACGGGUGAGUAACACGUGGGUAACCUGCCCAUAAGACUGGGAUAACUCCGGGAAACCGGGGCUAAUACCGGAUAACAUUUUGAACUGCAUGGUUCGAAAUUGAAAGGCGGCUUCGGCUGUCACUUAUGGAUGGACCCGCGUCGCAUUAGCUAGUUGGUGAGGUAAUGGCUCACCAAGGCAACGAUGCGUAGCCGACCUGAGAGGGUGAUCGGCCACACUGGGACUGAGACACGGCCCAGACUCCUACGGGAGGCAGCAGUAGGGAAUCUUCCGCAAUGGACGAAAGUCUGACGGAGCAACGCCGCGUGAGUGAUGAAGGCUUUCGGGUCGUAAAACUCUGUUGUUAGGGAAGAACAAGUGCUAG